This 422-nucleotide ribosomal RNA is filed under the name uncultured bacterium. RNAcentral's name for it is "partial 16S ribosomal RNA". It matches the Rfam family "Bacterial small subunit ribosomal RNA", at positions 360 to 774 of the family's 1533-position model. The record is from RNAcentral.
AAUUUUUGACAAUGGGGGCAACCCUGAUCCAGCCAUCCCGCGUGUGCGAUGACGGCCUUCGGGUUGUAAAGCACUUUUGGCAGGGAAGAAAAGGUUCUGGCUAUUAUCUGGAACUGCUGACGGUACCUGCACAAUAAGCACCGCCUAACUACCGGCCAGCAGCCGCGGUAAUACCUAGGGUGCAAGCGUUAAUCGGAAUUACUGGGCGCAAAGCGUGCGCAGGCGGUUCGGCAAGAAGGAUGUGAAAUCCCGGGGCUUAACCUCGGAACUGCAUUCUUAACUGCCGGGCUAGAGUAUGCCAGAGGGGGGUAGAAUUCCACGUGUAGCAGUGAAAUGCGUAGAGAUGUGGAGGAAUACCGAUGGCGAAGGCAGCCCCCUGGGAUGAUACUGACGCUCAUGCACGAAAGCGUGGGGAGCAAACA